Molecule: non-coding RNA, 815 nt
Filed under: Oomorphoides metallicus
Lineage: Eukaryota; Metazoa; Arthropoda; Insecta; Coleoptera; Chrysomelidae
Source: RNAcentral
UGUCAUUUUAAGCAAAAAUUUUAGGGAGGGAUACAGCUUUAAAAAUGUUUAUUUAUUUUUUUAUACAAAGAAAAGUUUAAUUUUAGCUAAAUAAAUUAAGUUUGUCCAUGAUUUACAUGUAAUUUUAAUUAGGCUAUAUGCGCUUAUUUGCAGUGAUUAAUAUUAGUUAAUUUAUGAAAUUGAGAACUAGUAUGUGUCUAGAGUAUUAACUAAAUUUGUGCCAGCAGUUGCGGUUAUACAAAUAAUACAUUUUAAUUUUUAAGGGUUAAUAAUUAAAAUAUUAAUAAAUUUUAAUAACUUAAGUUUUAAGGUGAAAUUUAAAUUUUAGUAUAAAAUUAUUUGUUGAGGUUAUAAAAUUUAGGGAUUAAACUGGGAUUAGAUACCCCAUUAUUUUAAUGUAAAUAAUUUACUUGAUUAGUAUAAGUUGUGUUCUGGAAAAUUAAAAAUUUUGGCGGUGUCCUAGGCUUUUUAGAGGAACCUGUUUUUAGAUUGAUAGUCCACGAUUUGCUAUACUUUUAUUUGUUUGUAUAUCGUCGUUGUUAUAAAUAUAUUUUGAUAUAAAUAUUUGAGACUUUAGAUUUGAAAUUAAAUCAGAUCAAGAUGCAGUUUGUAUAUAAGUUAAAAUGGGUUACAAUGGGAUUUGUAUGAGGAUUUUUAGUUUAAAAAUUAAUUUGAUUAAGGAUUUAAAUGUAAUUUAAUUUAAAUUUUUUUAAUGAUUUAAGCUCUGGGAUGUGUACAUAUCGCCCGUCGCUUUCAUUUUAAAGUGAAAUAAGUCGUAACAUAGUAAUUUUACUGGAAAGUGAAGUUAGAAGAGC